GUACGGAGGAAGGUGGGGAGUGACGUCAAAUCCAUCAUGCCCUUAUGACCUGGGCUACACACGUGCUACAAUGGGCGGUACAAAGGGUCGCGAACCGCGAGGGGGAGCCAAAUCCCAAAAAAGCCGCUCUCAGUUCGGAUUGCAGGCUGCAACUCGCCUGCAUGAAGCCGGAAUCGCUAGUAAUCGCGGAUCAGCAUGCCGCGGUGAAUACGUUCCCGGGCCUU
Molecule: ribosomal RNA, 224 nt
Filed under: uncultured Anoxybacillus sp.
Lineage: Bacteria; Bacillati; Bacillota; Bacilli; Caryophanales; Anoxybacillaceae
Description: partial 16S ribosomal RNA
Rfam family: Bacterial small subunit ribosomal RNA
Source: RNAcentral